RNAcentral lists this ribosomal RNA (253 nucleotides) under uncultured bacterium. Its description in RNAcentral is "partial 16S ribosomal RNA". It matches the Rfam family "Bacterial small subunit ribosomal RNA", at positions 524 to 776 of the family's 1533-position model. The record is from RNAcentral.
UACGUAGGGUGCAAGCGUUGUCCGGAAUUAUUGGGCGUAAAGAGCUCGUAGGCGGUUUGUCGCGUCUGCUGUGAAAACUCGGGGCUUAACCCCGGGCCUGCAGUGGGUACGGGCAGACUAGAGUGCGGUAGGGGAGACUGGAAUUCCUGGUGUAGCGGUGAAAUGCGCAGAUAUCAGGAGGAACACCGGUGGCGAAGGCGGGUCUCUGGGCCGAUAUUGACGCUGAGGCGCGAAAGCGUGGGGAGCAAACAGG